AACUGUUUACAGGUAGCUCUACCCAGAUUUUACCAAAAAUAAUUCAAAUUACACUAUCCAAACCUCAGGAUUUUGCCCUCAUAUAAAGAAGUGGGAGGGGAGGACUCAAGAUGGCGCUGUGAGAACAACCCAGGAUUAGAGCUCUUCUUGAAUCCGCAAACAGGCAUAUCUUAAAGACAAUUGCAUGUUCAGUUCCAGAUGAGCACAAGAAAGCGAGUAUCAUGAUACAGGAGUCAUAUGAACUGUUUCAUCUUCUAAUGCUUCUUAUGUACAUAAUCCAACUUGCUCUGCCUUCCAACUCCAUCCCAUGCCAACCAUGUGCUUCCCUGCCUUUCAAUCAUCACUGCUUCCAACAAUGACAGACUUCUAAGAAAGUCAGAAAACGUUAGUCUGAAAAGUUAAGUAGAAGGAGGAAAGGAGUCUAAGGCACACAGCACAGUAGGUAUUUAAUAAAUAUCUCAUAAAUUAAUAAAUGACUUAUGUACAGCUAAGCACCUAAACGAUGAAGAGAGAAAGAGGACAAAAGAAUGAUCUGGGAGAAGUGGGAAGUGGCUCAAGACAAAAAUAUGAGAGCUUCCAAUGGGGUGAGUGGAAAAGAAAACUUAUUUAAGUGGUGAAGAGCCAUUACGGAGAGGGUCAUAGGAACUGGGAGACUUUCCUUCCCUCUCUGGUUAGACUACAUUUCAGUCAAAGGGCAUAGCCAUGCCUUUUUAUAUAUUCAGUCCACAGAUAUACUUACUGUUUAUCUCAUUUUAUGCCCAAUUAGGUGGGAUGAGACGCAUGGGAUGAUAGGAUAGCUGGGGUAGCGUGGGUUUAGGGGGUGGGGUUGGGGAGUGGGAAAAGACUAAACCCAUCUCUCUGUGCUGUUAAUCUCAGAAGUUAUCAUAUUAUCCAGCAAUUCCUAACCCCACUUGAUUCUGUGAGCAGCUCUCUGGUGAACAGAGUUCAUGGUAUGAAAGAUGUAAUCCACUCAGUGUGCAGAUCCAUUGUUUUGUCACUGAUACAAUGGCAGGCAUUCCAAAAAUGAAUCUUCACCUUGCCUGUCAAAGCCUAUCUAUUCUAAUUUCCCACCCUGAUCUGGGAAAACUACAAAAAGGACCAAUUACCCUCUGAGUUAGUCAGAGCCUCAUUUGUACUCAAUGAGGAAUCACAUACAGGCACACAACCCCUCCAACAGCACAACUGGUGCUGACUAUUAACCUAGAUCAAUAGUCUCAAUAGAAAAGGUCAAAGGUCCAAUGGGCUCUGGGAACCCCAGACCACAUUACUCUCCACCUUGACCAACUUGACAGACAAGCUCAAUUGCCCAGGCUGUUCCCUUUCAGUCAGUGCAUUAGCAAAAAACUUUGGAGCUUGAAACUAACAGUCCUUUUCUUUGUAUUAAAUACCAAAAACGGUAAAUAAUAAUAAGCAGAAGAUAGCAAAGAGGGAAUAAGAACAAAGAGAAUAAAACAAGACAAAUAAUUCCAUUUCUGACUCACUUUUUAUAAAAGGAUAUAUAUGAUUUUGCAGAUUUCCUCUAUAGGAGGCUUCAUUUUAUAAUAAGAGAUUUGUAGCAAUUCUGCUAUAUGGCUUAUAGCAAUC
RNAcentral lists this long non-coding RNA (1584 nucleotides) under Callithrix jacchus (white-tufted-ear marmoset). RNAcentral describes it as "lncRNA (ENSCJAG00000080805.1)". Lineage: Eukaryota; Metazoa; Chordata; Mammalia; Primates; Cebidae. The record is from RNAcentral.